RNAcentral lists this ribosomal RNA (448 nucleotides) under uncultured bacterium. Its description in RNAcentral is "bacterial SSU rRNA". It matches the Rfam family "Bacterial small subunit ribosomal RNA", at positions 329 to 794 of the family's 1533-position model. The record is from RNAcentral.
CCCCAGACUCCUACGGGAGGCAGCAGUGGGGAAUAUUGCACAAUGGGGGGAACCCUGAUGCAGCGACGCCGCGUGAGUGAAGAAGUAUUUCGGUAUGUAAAGCUCUAUCAGCAGGGAAGAAAAUGACGGUACCUGACUAAGAAGCACCGGCUAAAUACGUGCCAGCAGCCGCGGUAAUACGUAUGGUGCAAGCGUUAUCCGGAUUUACUGGGUGUAAAGGGAGCGCAGGCGGCACGGCAAGCCUGAUGUGAAAGCCCGCGGCCCAACCGCGGGACUGCAUUGGGAACUACCGGGCUGGAGUGCCGGAGAGGUAAGCGGAAUUCCUAGUGUAGCGGUGAAAUGCGUAGAUAUCAGGAGGAACACCGGUGGCGAAGGCGGCCUGCUGGACUGCAACUGACGUUGAGGCCCGAAAGCGUGGGGAGCAAACAGGAUUAGAUACCCCGGUAUC